CAGGGCAGUUAGUCGGGGAGUUCGUCAGUUGUUGUUUGCCAGAAGACGACGGCUUUAGAGCAUCUGACAGACAUCUUUCCCCACAAACAGUAACAGAUCCUGUGAGAGAUAAUAGUGAAGAUGGCUGCUGUGUUUUGGAUGGCUGUGGUGCUGGCCUUUACCCUGUUUACUGGAAACAGUUUGGGUGUUGUGGAUCAGAACAAGCUUGCACAGUUUGUACAAGGCAUCAACACAGAGUACAACAUUAAAGGCCAAGUCAGUUGGGCUGUAAACAUCCCCGGAGACCAGGAUGUGAACAAGCUUAAGAAUAUCUUUAAAGACGACCCCGCAGAAACUGUGAAAGACAAGGUUUCAAAGGAUGAAGUGUAUCAAGGUACCAAUGUGGUUGCAGCAAAAUUUAAGACAUUUCCCACAUUUACUGAGCAUGCAGAGGCACGUGUCCUGGACAAUAUGGAACCUUUAGCUAACAGAGGUGAAGGUAAAAUUCUGCUCUUCUAUUCAUACCUUUCUCCAUGUGGUGCAAAGUGUACAAAUACCGACAAUAGGAACAAUAUCCUGAACAAGAUUGAUACAGUCUGGAAGAAGUACCAAUGGAAAGACCACGCCUUUGUGUUUUCUAAAGUUUUUGACAGGACCAGUAAAGGUACUGUCAUUAAAAAGACGGAAAUAGAGGCCGCCCUUACUCAGCUCGGAAACUCCAAACUACGUCACAAAAUAUUUCGUUGUUACAAACCAAAAAACAGCGAAUUCAAAUGCACUAACUGCUACAUCAAAGGCAAACUUUUAAAUGAAUGUGUUGACAACAAUGUGUGAACAACAGGAGCUGUGGUGGGGUUGUCAUGGAGUAGAGGAGUUCUGGGGAACACACUGCUUCAGGCUUUAACUGGAUCCUAUUUAAAAUGGUAUUUUAAAAAAUAUAUUUUGCAUUAUUGAUUCUCCUUUAACUAUCAGCUUAUUACACUGAGGACCCGGACACACAUACAAUGUUUUCUGUGUUUAGAUUAUUGUGAAAAGUGGAAAAGUGAUGUGAUUCAUAAACAGUUACAGAGCAUAAAUUUUGUUCUAUUUUAAAAAUGCCUAAUUGAAACUAAUGUUAAACCUGGAUGUUUGAUGUAUGUUAACCUGACUAAUUACGGGACUCAAUAGUUGUAUAAAGCAAAAUAAUACCCUUAGAUUUUCUGUUCUUUCUGAUUAAAGCUUGGCAUUCUCAUUCUGA
Long non-coding RNA from Dicentrarchus labrax (European seabass), 1216 nucleotides. RefSeq lists it as uncharacterized. The transcript is spliced from 4 exons. The record is from RefSeq and is a predicted model, not a curated record. Lineage: Eukaryota; Metazoa; Chordata; Actinopteri; Moronidae.